This 86-nucleotide transfer RNA is filed under the name Rhizoctonia solani AG-1 IB. RNAcentral's name for it is "tRNA-Leu". It matches the Rfam family "tRNA". From Rfam's summary of the family: Transfer RNA (tRNA) molecules are approximately 80 nucleotides in length. Their secondary structure includes four short double-helical elements and three loops (D, anti-codon, and T loops). The record is from RNAcentral. Lineage: Eukaryota; Fungi; Basidiomycota; Agaricomycetes; Cantharellales; Ceratobasidiaceae.
GGCAUGAUGGCCGAGCGGUCUAAGGCGACGCACUCAAGCAUUGCGUUGGGAUUUAUCCCGCGUGCGUUCAAAUCGCACUCAUGUCA